RNAcentral lists this ribosomal RNA (392 nucleotides) under uncultured bacterium. Its description in RNAcentral is "partial 16S ribosomal RNA". It matches the Rfam family "Bacterial small subunit ribosomal RNA", at positions 523 to 918 of the family's 1533-position model. The record is from RNAcentral.
AUACGGAGGAUGCGAGCGUUAUCCGGAUUUAUUGGGUUUAAAGGGAGCGUAGGCGGGAGCUUAAGUCAGCGGUUAAAUGGUGCGGCUCAACCGUGCCCUGCCGUUGAAACUGGGUUUCUUGAGAGUGCAAGAGGCGGAUGGAAUUCAUGGGGGUGCGGGGAAAUGCUUAGAUAUCAUGAAGAACUCCGAUUGCGAAGGCAGUCCGCUGGGGCACGUUUGACGCUGAUGCUCGAAGGUGCGGGAAUCAAACAGGAUUAGAUACCCUGGUGGUCCGCACGGUAAACGAUGAUUACCCGCUGUCGGCGGUAGACAGUCGGCGGCCAAGCGAAAGCGAUAAGUAAUCCACCUGGGGAGUACGCCGGCAACGGUGAAACUCAAAGGAAUUGACGGGG